UACGUAGGGUGCAAGCGUUAAUCGGAAUUACUGGGCGUAAAGCGCGUGUAGGCGGCUCGGCAAGUCGGAUGUGAAAGCCCUGGGCUCAACCUAGGAAGUGCAUUCGAAACUGCAGAGCUUGAGUUCUGGAGAGGAAGGCGGAAUUCUCGGUGUAGAGGUGAAAUUCGUAGAUAUCGAGAGGAACACCUGUGGCGAAGGCGGCCUUCUGGACAGUGACUGACGCUGAGACGCGAAAGCGUGGGGAGCAAACAGG
Molecule: ribosomal RNA, 253 nt
Filed under: uncultured bacterium
Lineage: Bacteria
Description: partial 16S ribosomal RNA
Rfam family: Bacterial small subunit ribosomal RNA
Source: RNAcentral